AGUCCCGGCUAGGGACACAGCUCUUAGACUUUGAGCUAGACAACCAGGAGGACAGGAGGACCUAGUAUCCUGCCUCCAUCAGCCCAUCAUUUAUGCAAAUGCUACUUAGUUGCCGUCUAGAUGCAGGAUGCUGUCUGCCCUGUUAAAUGCUGUGUGAACCCAGAUGGAAGCUGAGCAGACAUCACACUCGUGAGCAGCUCCCCUUCCUGUUUCAGGCUGGCCUUGAACUUACAGGGAUUCACCUGCCUCUGCCUCCCAGAUGCUGAGAUUAAAGGCAUGUGCCAUCACCACCUGAACAACAGCAGCUUUCUAAGGAACCAGUAAGGCACUACAGACUUUUCAUAUAACAUCACCUUCAUUCUCUCACAACUAAUUCUACAAAACAGAUGUUAUACGACCUCGUUCGCUGAAGUCAAAGAUGCAGAGGGGCCAAGGUGUGGGCUCCGGACCUCACACCAGUGUGGCAGAUUCAACAAGCCCAGAAUAAGCCUCUUCCUUUGCUCACAAUAAGAUUAAGCCAACUGCCUCUUCAUUCCUCAGUCACACUCCUCCUCUGACCCUGCUCCAGGAGGCUCAUCUUGUCAGACUUCACACUGAAUGAGCGCUGAGGAUGCUGUAGAGUAUGAGCUGUGUGCAGGAUUGCUAUCUUCUGGUCCUGUACUCCUCAAGCUCAAAGGCCAACGUCCUGGCAUUUGUGUGACGGCUUUUGCCCUACCCUGCAGAAUUUGCAAUAGGCAGUCUCUACAUGUACUCAGGGCCCAGUGGGCAUUCAACAUGUUCAUUGAAUGACAA
Molecule: long non-coding RNA, 792 nt
Filed under: Mus musculus (house mouse)
Lineage: Eukaryota; Metazoa; Chordata; Mammalia; Rodentia; Muridae
Description: predicted gene, 32817, transcript variant 34 (Gm32817)
Source: RNAcentral